AAAAAACCAUAGAUUAGUUAUCACUUUUAAAUAUCAAAAUUCUUAGUUCUCAACUAUGGGUGGUGACAAUACUGAGAAGAUUACCAUAAUGAUGCUAAAGGUUGAUCUUCAAUGUUCAAGCUGCUACAAAAAAGUCAAAAAAAUUCUCUGCAAAUUCCCUCAAAUUCGAGACCAAGUGUAUGAUGAAAAGGCCAAUAUAAUCACAAUUACUGUAUUGUGUUGCAAUCCUGAAAAAAUUCGUGACAAAUUGUGUUGCAAAGGAGGGGGAGUAAUCAAGAGCAUUGAGAUCAAAGA
Molecule: unclassified non-coding RNA, 294 nt
Filed under: Hevea brasiliensis (rubber tree)
Lineage: Eukaryota; Viridiplantae; Streptophyta; Magnoliopsida; Malpighiales; Euphorbiaceae
Source: RNAcentral